GGAAGCGUAUCGAAGUGGUCAUAACGGCCCUGACUCGAAAUCAGGUGAUGGGAAACCGUCCGUGGGUUCGAAUCCCACCGCUUCCG
This 86-nucleotide transfer RNA is filed under the name Clostridiales bacterium. RNAcentral describes it as "tRNA-Ser". It matches the Rfam family "tRNA". Rfam says of the family: Transfer RNA (tRNA) molecules are approximately 80 nucleotides in length. Their secondary structure includes four short double-helical elements and three loops (D, anti-codon, and T loops). Further hydrogen bonds mediate the characteristic L-shaped molecular structure. tRNAs have two regions of fundamental functional importance: the anti-codon, which is responsible for specific mRNA codon recognition, and the 3' end, to which the tRNAs corresponding amino acid is attached (by aminoacyl-tRNA synthetases). tRNAs cope with the degeneracy of the genetic code in two manners: having more than one tRNA (with a specific anti-codon) for a particular amino acid; and 'wobble' base-pairing, i.e. permitting non-standard base-pairing at the 3rd anti-codon position. The record is from RNAcentral. Lineage: Bacteria; Bacillati; Bacillota; Clostridia; Eubacteriales.